RNAcentral lists this ribosomal RNA (159 nucleotides) under Xylariaceae sp. RNAcentral's name for it is "partial large subunit ribosomal RNA". It matches the Rfam family "Eukaryotic large subunit ribosomal RNA", at positions 99 to 261 of the family's 3401-position model. Lineage: Eukaryota; Fungi; Ascomycota; Sordariomycetes; Xylariales; Xylariaceae. The record is from RNAcentral.
CGGCAACAGCUCAAAUUUGAAAUCUGGCCUUCGGGUCCGAAUUGUAAUUUGCAGAGGAUGCUUUUGGCGAGGUGCCUUCCGAGUUCCCUGGAACGGGACGCCUUAGAGGGUGAGAGCCCCGUACGGUUGGACACUAAGCCUCUGUAAAGCUCCUUCGAC